UACGAAGGGGGCGAGCGUUAUUCGGAAUCACUGGGCGUAAAGCGUGCGUAGGUUGUUCUGUAAGUUGGAAGUGAAAGCCAGGGGCUCAACCCCGGAAUUGCUUUCAAAACUACAGGACUCGAGUCCGGGAGGGGAUAGCGGAAUUUCCAGUGUAGUAGUGAAAUACGUAGAUAUUGGAAGGAACACCAGUGGCGCAAGCGGCUAUCUGGACCGGUACUGACGCUGAGGCACGAAAGCGUGGGGAGCAAACAGG
RNAcentral lists this ribosomal RNA (253 nucleotides) under uncultured bacterium. RNAcentral's name for it is "partial 16S ribosomal RNA". It matches the Rfam family "Bacterial small subunit ribosomal RNA", at positions 524 to 776 of the family's 1533-position model. The record is from RNAcentral.